This is a long non-coding RNA of Balaenoptera musculus (blue whale), 268 nucleotides long. RefSeq lists it as uncharacterized. The transcript has 3 exons. The record is from RefSeq and is a predicted model, not a curated record. Lineage: Eukaryota; Metazoa; Chordata; Mammalia; Artiodactyla; Balaenopteridae.
UACUGCUGAGAAAAGAAAGAUGAGACGCUUGGUUUCUCAGUCUCCUAAGAGAGUGCGGCAGUGUGUCGGCCGGCUCUAGUACACCUUUAUGGCACUGCCCGGCCCUCUGGGAACAGUUUUCUGGGCGGAUAUGAAUGUGGCUCCCUGCAGUUAGAAUAAUAAAUUACUCCUUUUCUAUCCAAGUUGCCAGAGUGUCUGAGAGUUGUUAUCCCAGUUGGAGAAGACGGCUGUGACUGGAGUAGAGAUUUAUCUUCUCUGGCAUGCUGCC